Molecule: long non-coding RNA, 472 nt
Filed under: Bos taurus (domestic cattle)
Lineage: Eukaryota; Metazoa; Chordata; Mammalia; Artiodactyla; Bovidae
Description: long non-coding RNA NONBTAT025891
Source: RNAcentral
CCAAAAUGUAUAAUGUUGCAAACACAUGAAGGUUUGUUCUUGUUUACUUAAUAUCACUGGGUGCUUGAAUAGGUUAGUGCCAGAGCCUUCUUCCAUGUGGUUGUACAAGGACUCUGCAAUAUUAAUUGGGUGACUUCCAUGGUCAUCCUAAGAGUUAUCUCCAUUCUAAUCAACCCAGCCAGAAAGGGGAAAGAAGCAUAGGGGACCACAACAUGGCGAGGAAGUUGGGAAGGAAAUUCUCAAAGUAGUUUCAGCAUUGGGAUAAGACACUUUUCACUGAAGAUAUAGUCUGUGUUUCUAAGAGCUUACAUAGUAGUGGCCAUAAAAGAGCAAAUCAUGGUAAUCAUGUGAUUCUUAAUCCUAGCUAGGCAUCAGACUCCUCAGUGGGGAGUUUUUAAGAAGCACAGAUACAAGAGCUCAAAUUCCAGCUUUUGGUCAGCAGAUUUGGCUGGAACCUGAACAGCCACAUCUU